This 434-nucleotide ribosomal RNA is filed under the name uncultured bacterium. RNAcentral describes it as "partial 16S ribosomal RNA". It matches the Rfam family "Bacterial small subunit ribosomal RNA", at positions 29 to 507 of the family's 1533-position model. The record is from RNAcentral.
AGCGAACGCUGGCGGCAGGCCUAACACAUGCAAGUCGAACGAACCUUUCGGGGUUAGUGGCGGACGGGUGAGUAACACGUGGGAACGUGCCUUUAGGUUCGGAAUAACUCAGGGAAACUUGUGCUAAUACCGAAUGUGCCCUUCGGGGGAAAGAUUUAUCGCCUUUAGAGCGGCCCGCGUCUGAUUAGCUAGUUGGUUGAGGUAAUGGCUCACCAAGGCGACGAUCAGUAGCUGGUCUGAGAGGAUGAUCAGCCACAUUGGGACUGAGACACGGCCCAAACUCCUACGGGAGGCAGCAGUGGGGAAUCUUGCGCAAUGGGCGAAAGCCUGACGCAGCCAUGCCGCGUGAAUGAUGAAGGUCUUAGGAUUGUAAAAUUCUUUCACCGGGAACGAUAAUGACGGUACCCGGAGAAGAAGCCCCGGCUAACUUCGUG